Molecule: unclassified non-coding RNA, 241 nt
Filed under: plant metagenome
Description: partial contains small subunit ribosomal RNA, internal transcribed spacer 1, and 5.8S ribosomal RNA
Source: RNAcentral
UCUCCGUUGGUGAACCAGCGGAGGGAUCAUUACCGAGUUUUCUACUCCCAAACCCCUGUGAACUUAUACCUUUACCGUUGCUUCGGCGGGUUAACGCCCCGGAAGGGCCCCCGAAAGGGAGCCGCCCCGGAACCAGGCGCCCGCCGGGGGACCCAAACUCUUGUAUUUUCUUACCUAGCAUGUCUGAGUGGAAUCAUAAACAAAUGAAUCAAAACUUUCAACAACGGAUCUCUUGGUUCUG